This 419-nucleotide ribosomal RNA is filed under the name Tripterygion delaisi xanthosoma. RNAcentral's name for it is "partial 16S ribosomal RNA". It matches the Rfam family "Bacterial large subunit ribosomal RNA", at positions 1929 to 2512 of the family's 2925-position model. Lineage: Eukaryota; Metazoa; Chordata; Actinopteri; Blenniiformes; Tripterygiidae. The record is from RNAcentral.
GGCCGCGGUAUUCUGACCGUGCAAAGGUAGCGCAAUCACUUGUCUUUUAAAUGAAGACCUGUAUGAAUGGCAUAACGAGGGCUUGACUGUCUCCUCUUUCUGGUCGAUGAAAUUGAUCUUUCCGUGCAGAAGCGGGAAUGUCAACAUAAGACGAGAAGACCCUGUGGAGCUUUAGACUCAAAACAGCCCCCGUAAAAAAGCCUGAUUAACGGCCUAUAACCCUGUUUUACUGUCUUUGGUUGGGGCGACCGCGGAGAACUAUUUAACCUCCAUGUGGACCGAACUAGUCUUUCAUAACUUAGAGUGACAACUCCAAGUAACAGAAUUUCUGACCAAAAAUGAUCCGGUAAAACCGAUCAACGAACCGAGUUACCCCAGGGAUAACAGCGCAAUCCUCUUUUAGAGCCCAUAUCGACAAG